UAGUGGACAACCCGCUCUACCACCUGAUCCACAGCCGCCCCUGUCACUGUGCAGCUAGCUGUUGCAAAUGAAUGGGAAAAUAUCCUUGGCAUCCAUGCAAUUCAAGGAUGUUGUAAUUGGUAAGUUGUGAUGUCAAAAGUAUCUGUACCAAGUUGAUACUAAAAUUUUAAAAAGAAUGAUACAAUAAUUUUUUUUUUUUCAGUAUCGGCUGUACCAAGUAUUCUUCUGCUUUCUGAUUGACUUUCUUUUGUGUUCCAGGUGCAGUCUUUGGAUAUUGAUGAAGAUUUACUGCCCUGCAAGAUCUUCCUCAACUGCAUAGUCUGGAACAAAGGAUGCAACAGAGCUCGGAUUGCAAGCAAAAACUGGUGACACACUUUGAUAUGAGGGAACAGUUAUGACCUAAUCUUUGGUAGAGGAGCAAAACAUGGAAAGCACACAGGGCAGGGUAACUGCAGGAGUAGU
Ictalurus punctatus (channel catfish) is the source of this 462-nucleotide long non-coding RNA. Lineage: Eukaryota; Metazoa; Chordata; Actinopteri; Siluriformes; Ictaluridae. The record is from Ensembl.